AUGAGGGUCGCGAAUAUAUCGAUUCCAGCCAACGAUGACACUAUGACUUCAAUUCGAUUGAUUCUUAACAAAUUAGUAUUUUCAAUUUGUGAGGGCCAUUCUCUCUAUAUAAGAAAUUGUUGA
This 123-nucleotide ribosomal RNA is filed under the name Triticum aestivum (bread wheat). RNAcentral's name for it is "partial small subunit ribosomal RNA". The record is from RNAcentral. Lineage: Eukaryota; Viridiplantae; Streptophyta; Magnoliopsida; Poales; Poaceae.